This is a ribosomal RNA of Peptostreptococcaceae bacterium oral taxon 113, 117 nucleotides long. The record is from Rfam. NCBI's taxonomy places the organism in Bacteria, Bacillati, Bacillota, Clostridia, Peptostreptococcales, Peptostreptococcaceae.
UAUGGCGACAAUGGCAAGAGGGGAACACCUGUACCCAUUCCGAACACAGAAGUAAAGCCUCUUAGCGCCGAUGGUACUGAAGUGGUAACGCUUUGGGAGAGUAGGACGUCGCCAAAC